UCGAAUCAGGUAGGACUACCCGCUGAACUUAAGCAUA
RNAcentral lists this ribosomal RNA (37 nucleotides) under Hypocrella discoidea. Its description in RNAcentral is "partial 28S ribosomal RNA". The record is from RNAcentral. Lineage: Eukaryota; Fungi; Ascomycota; Sordariomycetes; Hypocreales; Clavicipitaceae.